GAUGAAGAACGUAGUGAAAUGCGAUAAGUAGUGUGAAUUGCAGAAUUCAGUGAAUCAUCGAGUCUUUGAACGCACAUUGCGCCCCCUGGUAUUCCGGGGGGCAUGCCUGUCCGAGCGUCAUUGCUGCCCUCAAGCACGGCUUGUGUGUUGGGCCCCGUCCUCCGAUCCCGGGGGACGGGCCCGAAAGGCAGCGGCGGCACCGCGUCCGGUCCUCGAGCGUAUGGGGCUUUGUCACCCGCUCUGUAGGCCCGGCCGGCGCUUGCCGAUCAACCCAAAUUUUUAUCCAGGUUGACCUCGGAUCAGGUAGGGAUACCCGCUGAACUUAAGCAUAUCAAUAAGCGGAGGA
This 346-nucleotide unclassified non-coding RNA is filed under the name soil metagenome. RNAcentral's name for it is "partial contains 5.8S ribosomal RNA, internal transcribed spacer 2, and large subunit ribosomal RNA". The stretch from base 1 to 120 matches the Rfam family "5.8S ribosomal RNA", at positions 35 to 154 of the family's 154-position model. The record is from RNAcentral.